UAGCUCAGUCAAUAGAGCAUGAGACUCUUAAUCUCAGUGUCGUGGGUUAGAGCCCCAC
Molecule: transfer RNA, 58 nt
Filed under: Danio rerio (zebrafish)
Lineage: Eukaryota; Metazoa; Chordata; Actinopteri; Cypriniformes; Danionidae
Rfam family: tRNA
About the family: Transfer RNA (tRNA) molecules are approximately 80 nucleotides in length.
Source: Rfam by way of RNAcentral